This 73-nucleotide transfer RNA is filed under the name Marmota monax (woodchuck). It matches the Rfam family "tRNA". Rfam says of the family: Transfer RNA (tRNA) molecules are approximately 80 nucleotides in length. Their secondary structure includes four short double-helical elements and three loops (D, anti-codon, and T loops). Further hydrogen bonds mediate the characteristic L-shaped molecular structure. tRNAs have two regions of fundamental functional importance: the anti-codon, which is responsible for specific mRNA codon recognition, and the 3' end, to which the tRNAs corresponding amino acid is attached (by aminoacyl-tRNA synthetases). tRNAs cope with the degeneracy of the genetic code in two manners: having more than one tRNA (with a specific anti-codon) for a particular amino acid; and 'wobble' base-pairing, i.e. permitting non-standard base-pairing at the 3rd anti-codon position. Lineage: Eukaryota; Metazoa; Chordata; Mammalia; Rodentia; Sciuridae. The record is from Rfam by way of RNAcentral.
GGGGCUAUAGCUCAGCUGGUAGAGCGUUUGCCCCGCAUGCAGAAGGCCCUGGGUUCAAUCCCCAGCACCACCG